CCUACGGGAGGCAGCAGUGGGGAAUAUUGGGCAAUGGGCGAAAGCCUGACCCAGCAAUGCCGCGUGAAUGAAGAAGGCUUUAGGAUUGUAAAAUUCUGUUCUAUGGGAAGAAAAAAAUGACGGUACCAUAGGAAUAAGCCACGGCUAACUACGUGCCAGCAGCCGCGGUAAUACGUAGGGGGCGAGCGUUGUCCGGAUUUACUGGGUGUAAAGAGAGCGUAGGCGGGACUGCAAGUCACAUGUGAAAAACCCGGGCUUAACUUAUGGGUUGCAUGGGAAACUGUAGAGCUUGAGUACAGGAGAGGCAGGCGGAAUUCCUAGUGUAGCGGUGAAAUGCGUAGAUAUAAGGAGGAACACCAGUGGCGAAGGCGGCUUGCUGGACUGUAACUGACGCUGAGGCGCGAAAGCGUGGGGAGCAAACAGGAUUAGAUACCCGUGUAGUC
This 443-nucleotide ribosomal RNA is filed under the name uncultured bacterium. Its description in RNAcentral is "partial 16S ribosomal RNA". It matches the Rfam family "Bacterial small subunit ribosomal RNA", at positions 338 to 795 of the family's 1533-position model. The record is from RNAcentral.